CAGUAGCCGCGGUAAUACGAAGGGUGCAAGCGUUAAUCGGAAUUACUGGGCGUAAAGCGUGCGUAGGCGGUUUGUUAAGUCUGCUGUGAAAUCCCCGGGCUCAACCUGGGAAUGGCAGUGGAUACUGGCAAGCUAGAGUGUGUCAGAGGAUGGUGGAAUUCCCGGUGUAGCAGUGAAAUGCGUAGAGAUCGGGAGGAACAUCAGUGGCGAAGGCGGCCAUCUGGGACAACACUGACGCUGAGGCACGAAAGCGUGGGGAGCAAACAGGAUUAGAUACCCGCGUAGUCCCUGUCUCUUAUAC
Molecule: ribosomal RNA, 301 nt
Filed under: uncultured bacterium
Lineage: Bacteria
Description: partial 16S ribosomal RNA
Rfam family: Bacterial small subunit ribosomal RNA
Source: RNAcentral